ACGAAUUAGCGGAUCUGCUCUUUUAUGUUGUUUCAUCGUUCACACUAUUGAAAUUUAAAACUCAUAAUGGUACACAAGCUCAAAAUCAUUUUUCGGGUAGAAUCUGUGACUGCCGACAUAGAGUUGUCAAAACUAAAGGGAAAUCUUGGGCGUCUUCUUUUUUCUCUUUACCGUUCACAAAAAUCUCCAUUUCCAUGUCUUCGAACUUGAAAGACCUUUUACUUUAAAUAAAACUUGAGAGACCUUGUAAGUCAAUCUUUUUCAAUGCUUCCUGAUCAAAAACCAUUUCUCCGUGUGCAAAAGAAAAAUAACUUCUCCAGUUCAAGAUUCUUGAAAUUCCAUCGGAAUUCAGUGUUCAAUAACCAUAUCAUUCAUCUAUACAUUGCUCUGUUUGCUUCAACAAUCACCAGACAAGAACAGUCCCCUGUAUCUAUACAAGUCAACAACCUAACAAAUACGAUUGCAAUACUACCAAGCCAAACAGUCUACUAACAGGCUACCAGCUAUCUAGCAGCCCAGAUUCACAGCGCGAGCGUGAGGCCAUCAUGUCGCUCAGCGGCACCGGGCCGGCGGUACGGCGCGGCGCGCGCGGCGGCCCUCCCUUUCCGCUUCUCCAUGAACCGCUGCAGCGACGCCUUCCUCG
This 643-nucleotide long non-coding RNA is filed under the name Setaria italica (foxtail millet). Its description in RNAcentral is "long non-coding RNA (SITA_LNC006731)". Lineage: Eukaryota; Viridiplantae; Streptophyta; Magnoliopsida; Poales; Poaceae. The record is from RNAcentral.